CCUACGGGCGGCAGCAGUGGGGAAUAUUGGACAAUGGGGGCAACCCUGAUCCAGCCAUGCCGCGUGUGUGAAGAAGGCCCUCGGGUUGUAAAGCACUGUCAGUGAGGAAGAACGCCUGGUGGUUAAUACCCAUCAGGAAAGACAUCACUCACAGAAGAAGCACCGGCUAACUCCGUGCCAGCAGCCGCGGUAAUACGGAGGGUGCGAGCGUUACCGGAAUUACUGGGCGUAAAGCGCGCGUAGGUGGCUUGAUAAGCCGGUUGUGAAAGCCCCGGGCUCAACCUGGGAACGGCAUCCGGAACUGUCAAGCUAGAGUGCAGGAGAGGAAGGUAGAAUUCCCGGUGUAGCGGUGAAAUGCGUAGAGAUCGGGAGGAAUACCAGUGGCGAAGGCGGCCUUCUGGACUGACACUGACACUGAGGUGCGAAAGCGUGGGUAGCAAACAGGAUUAGAUACCCCAGUAGUC
This 464-nucleotide ribosomal RNA is filed under the name Vreelandella stevensii. RNAcentral's name for it is "partial 16S ribosomal RNA". It matches the Rfam family "Bacterial small subunit ribosomal RNA", at positions 338 to 795 of the family's 1533-position model. Lineage: Bacteria; Pseudomonadati; Pseudomonadota; Gammaproteobacteria; Oceanospirillales; Halomonadaceae. The record is from RNAcentral.